AAAUCCUAUCAGGUAAGGCCCAGCCAGCCGCCUGUACCGAGUCCUUGGAGCCGAAGCGGUGACGCCAGGCUUAAGCGUAGGACAGGGAGCAGCAGAGCCGAAACGAGAGUGAAGUGAUUGAGCUGGGAAAUUAGUAUGAGGUUGGAUAUGGUCGAUGUGUUUCAGUGCACAGCAGACAACACUGCCAUGACCGGUAUGGCGAGGUCAUGGCGGCAUCCCCCAGUCUGAGAGC
RNAcentral lists this non-coding RNA (232 nucleotides) under uncultured Eisenbergiella sp. The record is from RNAcentral. Lineage: Bacteria; Bacillati; Bacillota; Clostridia; Lachnospirales; Lachnospiraceae.